UGGCCAAGGGCAUGCCCACCAGCAAACCUGCAACCCUCUCCGGAGCCGGGUGCGCAGGUUCGAAUCCUGCAGGGG
RNAcentral lists this transfer RNA (75 nucleotides) under Nonomuraea angiospora. Its description in RNAcentral is "tRNA-OTHER". Lineage: Bacteria; Bacillati; Actinomycetota; Actinomycetes; Streptosporangiales; Streptosporangiaceae. The record is from RNAcentral.